AUCAGCCUUUUGGGUGUGAUUUUGUGGAACGUGAGGAGUUAAACGCCUUCAUGCCUGCAUAUUCGUGCACUUUGGGUGUACUUGCCCGUGUGGUUGGUUAACAUCAAUUUUGGUGGUCAUAAAAUGACUGGAGGAAUGUAGCUUCGAUCUCGUAUUGAAGUGUUAUAGCCUUCGGUAGAUGUGAUGAUCGAGAUUGAGGAUUGCAACGGAUACCCUUCGGGGCUACCUGUCUGGUCUCUGAUCGUUGCUCUGGUGCCGAAAGCUUGCUUACGGUUAUCAAAGUCGAUGGUCAAUAGGUUAGAACGGGUUAAAUUCGUUAAGGAUGUUGACGUAAUGGCUUU
RNAcentral lists this ribosomal RNA (341 nucleotides) under uncultured Glomeromycotina. RNAcentral describes it as "eukaryotic LSU rRNA". The record is from RNAcentral. Lineage: Eukaryota; Fungi; Glomeromycota.